This 242-nucleotide long non-coding RNA is filed under the name Ananas comosus (pineapple). Its description in RNAcentral is "long non-coding RNA (ACOM_LNC014813)". The record is from RNAcentral. Lineage: Eukaryota; Viridiplantae; Streptophyta; Magnoliopsida; Poales; Bromeliaceae.
UCUAUCAAAAAUUUAAGCAGUUUGGAUUGCUCUACACCGUUAAACAAGCAAACGGCUCAUAUAGGCCGUCAAAAAUUGUCGAUUUUACGAUCCUUUGAUCACCAUGUAAACGAUUUUUAAAAUUUCUAAAAUUUAGUUUCUAGAUACUUCUAAUACUCUAGAUCAACUUUAAUGGAUCCGAUCAUCGAUUCGGCAUCUCUAUCAUCAAGAACGAUUUGAUAGGACGAUGGUCUCUAUUCUAU